AAAUCCACAAUGAGCAGGUUCGUUGUCAUCCUAGUGCUGUCCUUCCUGCUCCUGAUGAGGUCCUCGGCUCCACUCGGCACCCUCGCCGCCGCUGGUUCGUCUGUGGGAUGCAAGCCAGGCAUGGCAGUGAUUGCCACGGAGAAGCGUGAUUCCCUACUGUUAGAUAGAUCGGCAGCAUAUCGUCGACUUCUCCAUAAUGACAAUCCGACUGGGAAGAACCCGGGGAAGGUACACGAUCCUCCUGUAUCCGGGACACGGUACAACGGAGACUGAUAUUCAUCAAGCAUCCCAGCAAUAGAAAGGGUGAAAUACUCUUGGGUGUAAUGUCUAUAUAUGAGACCAUGACCCGGCCCAUGCAAGUAAAUUUUGCGACGAACUGAAAAAACGUAGUAGUGUUAUAGUGUCCUAGAGUGCUUUGCAUAUACUCCUGCACGUAUAUGGAUUUUGCCUUCGGCUAGCUCCGCCAGGGAUAUAUAUGUUUUCCAUGUAUAAUUGAUGUCCUGGGUUGUUCUA
Molecule: long non-coding RNA, 513 nt
Organism: Panicum virgatum (switchgrass)
Lineage: Eukaryota; Viridiplantae; Streptophyta; Magnoliopsida; Poales; Poaceae
Exons: 2
Source: RefSeq, a predicted model, not a curated record